Molecule: ribosomal RNA, 277 nt
Filed under: uncultured bacterium
Lineage: Bacteria
Description: partial 16S ribosomal RNA
Rfam family: Bacterial small subunit ribosomal RNA
Source: RNAcentral
AAUCAACGCUGGCGGCGUGCCUCAGACAUGCAAGUCGAACGGUUAAGACUCCCUUCGGGGAGUGUAUAAAGUGGCGCACGGGUGAGUAACACGUAGGUAAUCUACCUUCGGGUGGGGAAUAACGUCGGGAAACCGACGCUAAUACCGCAUAAUGCAGCGGCAUCUAUUGAUGACAGUUGUUAAAGGAGCAAUCCGCCUGAAGAGGAGCCUGCGGCAGAUUAGGUAGUUGGUAAGGUAAUGGCUUACCAAGCCUGCGAUCUGUAUCCGACCUGAGAGG